CACUGUGUCUGUAGAGAUCCAGAGACCAUGCUGCCUCCCGAUCGAGCCAUGCCGCUCCUUCUCCUGCUCCUCUUCCUCGGCCUCGGCCCGGCGGCGGCGGCGGCGGACGAGCAGUUCGUCUUCGACGGCUUCACCGGCGCGAACCUCACCAUGGACGGCAUGGCCACGGUGACCCCCAACGGGCUGCUCCAGCUGAGCAACGCCACCAGCCAGCUCAAGGGCCACGCCUUCUUCCCGACGCCGCUGCAGUUCCACCGGGCGCCCAACAGCACGGCCAUGCAGUCCUUCUCCACGGCCUUCGUCAUCGGCAUCAUCGGCGCCUACGACACGCUCAGCAGCCACGGCAUGGCCUUCGUCGUCGCCAAGAGCCGCAACUUCACCUCCGCGCUGCCGGGCCAGUUCCUCGGCCUCGUCGGCUCCGCCAACAACGGCAACGCCACCAACCACCUCUUCGCCGUCGAGUUCGACACCAUCCUCAACUCCGAGUUCAACGACAUGAGCGGCAACCACGUCGGCAUCGACGUCAACGGCCUCAACUCCGUCGACGCCGACAACGCCGGCUACUACGACGACGCCACCGGCGCGUUCAGGAACAUCAGCCUGGUCGACCGCAAGCCCAUGCAGGUGUGGGUGGACUUCGACGGCCGGACCAUGCAGGUCAACGUCACCAUGGCGCCCCUGCAGGUGGCCCGGCCCAAGAAGCCCCUGCUCUCCGCCACCGUCAACCUCUCCUCCGUCAUCGACGACACUGCCUACGUCGGGUUCUCCUCGUCCAGCGGCAUCCUCUUCUGCCGCCACUACGUGCUCGGGUGGAGCUUCAAGAUGAACGGCGCCGCCCCGGCGCUUAACAUCUCCUCGCUGCCGUCGAUGCCGGUCACGUUCCCCAAGCCGCGGUCCAAGGUUCUGGAGAUCGUGCUCCCGAUCGCGUCCGCGCUGCUCGUCUUCGCGGUGGCCGCCGCCGUCUUCGUGUACAUGCGGCGGCGGCGCAUGUUCGGGGAGCUCAAGGAGGACUGGGAGGUCACCUUCGGGCCGCACAGGUUCUCGUACAAGGACCUCUACCACGCCACCGACGGGUUCAGCGACGAGCGGCUGCUGGGCAUCGGCGGGUUCGGGAGGGUGUACCGCGGCUCGCUCCCCAAGUCCAAGUCGGCGGAGAUCGCGGUGAAGAAGGUGUCGCACGGGUCGAGGCAGGGGAUGAGGGAGUUCGUGGCGGAGGUGGUGACCAUCGGCCGGCUCCGGCACCGCAACCUGGUGCAGCUGCUGGGCUACUGCCGGCGCAAGGGCGAGCUGCUGCUGGUGUACGACUACAUGCCCAACGGCAGCCUGGACAAGCACCUGUACGACGACCAGAAGAAGACGGCGGCCCUGGGCUGGUGGCAGAGGUUCCGGAUCAUCAAGGGCGUCGCCUCCGGGCUGCUGUACCUCCACGAGGACUGGGAGCAGGUGGUGGUGCACCGGGACAUCAAGGCCAGCAACGUGCUGCUGGACGCCGACAUGAACGGCCGGCUGGGCGACUUCGGGCUGGCGCGGCUCUACGACCACGGCACGGACCCGCACACGACGCACGUGGUGGGCACCAUGGGGUACCUGGCGCCGGAGCUGGGGCACACGGGGAAGGCCUCCAAGGCGUCCGACGUGUUCGCGUUCGGGGCCUUCAUGCUGGAGGUGGCGUGCGGGCGGAAGCCGGUGGUGCAGGACGCGCGCGACAACCACCUGGUGCUGGUGGACUGGGUGCUCGACCAGUGGCGCGCCGGGACGGUCACCGGCGCCGUCGACCCGCGCCUGGGCGGCGACGUCGUGGAGCACGAGGCGAGCCUGGUGCUGAGGCUGGGCCUGCUGUGCUCGCACCCGCUGCCCGGCGCGCGCCCGACCACGCGGCAGGUGGCGCAGUACCUGGACGGCGACCUCAAGCUGCCGGAGCUGUCGCCCACGUACCAGAGCUUCAACAUGCUGGCGCUCAUGCAGGACCAGGGCUUCGACCCCUACGUCAUGUCCUACCCGAUGACCUCCAUCACCGCCGGCACCAUGUCCCAGAUGUCCGACCUCUCCGGAGGGAGGUGA
Molecule: ribosomal RNA, 2061 nt
Filed under: Triticum aestivum (bread wheat)
Lineage: Eukaryota; Viridiplantae; Streptophyta; Magnoliopsida; Poales; Poaceae
Description: partial small subunit ribosomal RNA
Source: RNAcentral